GGGGAUGUAGCUCAAUCGGGAGAGCGCCUGCCUUGCACGCAGGAGGUUGCGGGUUCGAAGCCGGCCAUUUCCACCA
RNAcentral lists this transfer RNA (76 nucleotides) under Ottowia testudinis. RNAcentral describes it as "Ottowia sp. 27C tRNA-Ala". It matches the Rfam family "tRNA". Rfam says of the family: Transfer RNA (tRNA) molecules are approximately 80 nucleotides in length. Their secondary structure includes four short double-helical elements and three loops (D, anti-codon, and T loops). Further hydrogen bonds mediate the characteristic L-shaped molecular structure. tRNAs have two regions of fundamental functional importance: the anti-codon, which is responsible for specific mRNA codon recognition, and the 3' end, to which the tRNAs corresponding amino acid is attached (by aminoacyl-tRNA synthetases). tRNAs cope with the degeneracy of the genetic code in two manners: having more than one tRNA (with a specific anti-codon) for a particular amino acid; and 'wobble' base-pairing, i.e. permitting non-standard base-pairing at the 3rd anti-codon position. Lineage: Bacteria; Pseudomonadati; Pseudomonadota; Betaproteobacteria; Burkholderiales; Comamonadaceae. The record is from RNAcentral.